GACGAACGCUGGCGGCGUGCUUAAUACAUGCAAGUCGAACGGAAAGGCCCUGCUCUUGUGGGGUUCUCGAGCGGCGAAGGGGGGAGUAACACGCGAGUAUACUGCCCUUGUCUUUGGGAUAAAUUUAGGAAAAUGGGGCUAAAAUAGGGGAGGAGCUCUUGCUGCAUGGGGGGGGUUGGAAAGAGACGGCGGUUGGGGAUGGUCUGGCGGGUUACGAGCUGGUUGGUGGGGUAGUGGAUUCCCAAGGCUUUGACGGGUAGCCGGCCUGAGAGGUGGAACAGCGACAAUGGGACUGAGAUACGGACCAGACUCGUACGGGAGGCAGCAGUGGAGAAUAUUGCACAAUGGGCGGAAGCCUGAUGCAGCAACGCCGCGUGCGGGAUGCCGGCCUUCGGGUGGUAAACCGCUUUCGCCGGUGACGAAGCGUUAGUGACGGUAAUGGGUAAAGAAGCAACGGCUAACUACGUG
RNAcentral lists this ribosomal RNA (468 nucleotides) under uncultured bacterium. RNAcentral's name for it is "partial 16S ribosomal RNA". It matches the Rfam family "Bacterial small subunit ribosomal RNA", at positions 28 to 507 of the family's 1533-position model. The record is from RNAcentral.